RNAcentral lists this small RNA (77 nucleotides) under Bacillus massilioanorexius. Its description in RNAcentral is "BsrC". It matches the Rfam family "BsrC", at positions 9 to 83 of the family's 87-position model. Rfam says of the family: The 301 nucleotide sequence from Kouji Nakamura has been trimmed to a highly conserved ~85 nucleotide long core to form this family. Lineage: Bacteria; Bacillati; Bacillota; Bacilli; Caryophanales; Bacillaceae. The record is from RNAcentral.
UAAACAACGUAAGCCCUACCUCUCAAACGUCCCCCACGGCUCCGAAGCCGCUCCGGUGUGAAUAGAAUAACUUACAA